RNAcentral lists this ribosomal RNA (456 nucleotides) under uncultured bacterium. RNAcentral describes it as "bacterial SSU rRNA". It matches the Rfam family "Bacterial small subunit ribosomal RNA", at positions 51 to 507 of the family's 1533-position model. The record is from RNAcentral.
ACACAUGCAAGUCGAACGGUAGAGGGGCACCCUUGAGAGUGGCGAACGGGUGAGUUAAUAUUAUCGGAACGUGCCCAGUCGGUGGGGAUAACGUAGCGAAAGCUACGCUAAUACCGCAUACGAUCUAUGGAUGAAAGCGGGGGAUCGCAAGACCUCGCGCGAUUGGAGCGGCCGAUAUCAGAUUAGGUAGUUGGUGAGGUAAAGGCCCACCAAGCCGACGAUCUGUAGCUGGUCUGAGAGGACGACCAGCCACACUGGGACUGAGACACGGCCCAGACUCCUACGGGAGGCAGCAGUGGGGAAUUUUGGACAAUGGGCGCAAGCCUGAUCCAGCAAUGCCGCGUGCAGGAUGAAGGCCUUCGGGUUGUAAACUGCUUUUGUACGGAACGAAACGGUGAGCUCUAAUACAGUUUGCUAAUGACGGUACCGUAAGAAUAAGCACCGGCUAACUACGUG